RNAcentral lists this non-coding RNA (28 nucleotides) under Mus musculus (house mouse). Lineage: Eukaryota; Metazoa; Chordata; Mammalia; Rodentia; Muridae. The record is from RNAcentral.
UCCAAGGGCUUCCCCACCACACAGUGCU